GAGGGUGUAGCUCAGUGGUAGAGCACAUGCUUAGCAUGCACGAGGUCCUGGGUCCAAUCUCCAGUACCUCCA
Molecule: transfer RNA, 72 nt
Filed under: Camelus bactrianus (Bactrian camel)
Lineage: Eukaryota; Metazoa; Chordata; Mammalia; Artiodactyla; Camelidae
Also listed under: 2 other names
Rfam family: tRNA
About the family: Transfer RNA (tRNA) molecules are approximately 80 nucleotides in length. Their secondary structure includes four short double-helical elements and three loops (D, anti-codon, and T loops).
Source: Rfam by way of RNAcentral